RNAcentral lists this long non-coding RNA (248 nucleotides) under Elaeis guineensis (African oil palm). Its description in RNAcentral is "long non-coding RNA (EGUI_LNC058105)". Lineage: Eukaryota; Viridiplantae; Streptophyta; Magnoliopsida; Arecales; Arecaceae. The record is from RNAcentral.
CUCUCCUUGUUAGCAAUAUUAUAAAUUUCCCUCACCUUCCUUUCAAUAUAGUUUAUCAUGUGAAUUAUCAAAUGAUGCAUAUUCCGCCUUACCAGUCCUUCUGCAUCUUUCUUAGCCUUCUUAUAUCUUUCAUAAUCUUAAAUAUCAUUCAUAAUUUUCUAUUUUUUAAAAUAAAUUCUUCUUGCCUUAUUGCCUACAGUACACUAUUAUUGCAUCACCAAGUUUUUUCUUUUUGUUGUGUGCGUGUG